RNAcentral lists this ribosomal RNA (464 nucleotides) under Vreelandella stevensii. RNAcentral's name for it is "partial 16S ribosomal RNA". It matches the Rfam family "Bacterial small subunit ribosomal RNA", at positions 339 to 795 of the family's 1533-position model. Lineage: Bacteria; Pseudomonadati; Pseudomonadota; Gammaproteobacteria; Oceanospirillales; Halomonadaceae. The record is from RNAcentral.
CUACGGGUGGCUGCAGUGGGGAAUAUUGGACAAUGGGCGAAAGCCUGAUCCAGCCAUGCCGCGUGUGUGAAGAAGGCCUUCGGGUUGUAAAGCACUUUCAGUGGGGAAGAAAGCCUUGGGGCUAAUACCCUCGAGGAAGGACAUCACCCACAGAAGAAGCACCGGCUAACUCCGUGCCAGCAGCCGCGGUAAUACGGAGGGUGCGAGCGUUAAUCGGAAUUACUGGGCGUAAAGCGCGCGUAGGCGGUCUGAUAAGCCGGUUGUGAAAGCCCCGGGCUCAACCUGGGAACGGCAUCCGGAACUGUCAGGCUAGAGUGCAGGAGAGGAAGGUAGAAUUCCCGGUGUAGCGGUGAAAUGCGUAGAGAUCGGGAGGAAUACCAGUGGUGAAGGCGGCCUUCUGGACUGACACUGACGCUGAGGUGCGAAAGCGUGGGUAGCAAACAGGAUUAGAUACCCUAGUAGUC